RNAcentral lists this ribosomal RNA (492 nucleotides) under uncultured bacterium. RNAcentral's name for it is "partial 16S ribosomal RNA". It matches the Rfam family "Bacterial small subunit ribosomal RNA", at positions 29 to 507 of the family's 1533-position model. The record is from RNAcentral.
AGUGAACGCUGGCGGCAGGCCUAAUACAUGCAAGUCGAACGGAAGCACAGUAAGAGUUCGCCUCUAACGGUGGCGAGUGGCGGAUGGGUGACGCAUACAUAGCCAUCCACUUUUUCGUGGGGGACAUCGUAGGGACAGUUAUGAUAAUAGCGCAUACGAUGUACGGCAGAAUGCAGGGGAGAAACACACUUUGCGUGUCACAAUGAGACGAUGUCGCAUUAGCUAGUUGGCAAGGUAAAGGCACACCAAGGCAACGAUCCGUAGCUGAUCCGAGAGGAUGAUCGGCCACACUGGAACUGAGACACGGUCCAGACUCCUACGGGAGGCAGCAGUAGGGAAUAUUCGACAAUGGGCGAAAGCCUGACCGAGCCACGCCGCGUGAGUGAUGAAGGCCUUCGGAUCGUAAAACCCUGUUAUUAGGGAAGAAAAAAUGUGUAAGUAAACCUGGCUGUUUUGACGGUACCCAAUCAGAAAGCACCGGCUAACUUCGUG